This is a non-coding RNA of Pocillopora verrucosa, 550 nucleotides long. The record is from RefSeq and is a predicted model, not a curated record. Lineage: Eukaryota; Metazoa; Cnidaria; Anthozoa; Scleractinia; Pocilloporidae.
AAUUUCUGCCGUACGAUUUCAGUCUGCGACAAUGGCGUCCGAUGCGAAACGCUAGAGAUACAGCGUAGCUGUAGCUUUAGAGGUAAUUUUUGACGAUGGAAGUGAGUAUGGUGGUAUCUCUAGUGGUGAGGAAUCCGAAUUAGAUAGAAAACUGGAAAAUCCUAGCGAAGAAUCGAGAUGUGGUUCUACUUGUUACAUGCUGGAAAUUCACAAAACAAACAAAUUAUGCUCAAGAAUGAGUGGAAUGAUAUAAAAUGACAGUUUCCGGUUUCACUUCUGAAUUGUUUACUCUAGAAAAUACUGGUGGUGCAUUGCAAGUGAAAGGCUUUUGAUCCAGAGUCUCUGGAUGUCUUACCCAUAAGAUAAGGAAUAUUUUAUCCAAGAAAUGUUUCCUUUUAACUCCAAUCCAUUCAGGCCCAGGCUGUUUCAAAGUCAAAAGUUGUACAAUAAUUUAUGCAAAUCGUAUGCCAUUUUCUUAGCAUGAUUUAAAAUCUAUGGAUUUUUGGAGGCAAAAUAUAUUUUUUCUGAAAAGCUAAUUUUGUCCUUUCUC